Long non-coding RNA from Harpegnathos saltator (Jerdon's jumping ant), 775 nucleotides. RefSeq lists it as uncharacterized. The record is from RefSeq and is a predicted model, not a curated record. Lineage: Eukaryota; Metazoa; Arthropoda; Insecta; Hymenoptera; Formicidae. The transcript has 5 exons.
UGUAUGCAUGAGGUGUUAUUGUCGACAAUGAAACAUUGGGAUCAUGUUAUUCAGUAACAAUUGUGUAUUUCAAGUUGUGUAUGUAACCUCCCUGAAAAUCUCAAUAUAAGAUGCACAGCGCUCACGGUGGGUUCUAAGCUGGCAGGAAAAUAGCGUGAGAACAUAAGGCAGAUGUGUGUAUAGAAAUGUACGAAAGCAGGCGACUGUGCAAUAGUAGUCUGGAUCAGACCCAAAGGGUCGGAGGUCGAAGGGCUCGAGCAAUAACCACCUGGCGUCGUGGGGGCCGUGGGUUAUCAGGGACUAGUCACACCCCUCGUUUUGGGGAGGAAACCGACAUGUGGACGAGAACGAGGACUUGUUACGUAGCCGCGGGGACAGGGCUUCGUUGGCCAGAAGGCCCCCCUCUCUUUCCAUCUACCCUUACGUGUACCGAAGGGCCUGGGUAUAUAAGGGCCCGCUCGGCUUCCAGUGGCACAGGACAUCACGGUCGACAGUGAGAAGAAGAGGCUUCCAGGCUUCUUCGACCGAUCGACCGUACUGGUCACGGUCGAGGAAGACCCGAAGAGGAGGCUGGAGGACGAAGAGGAAGUGAGCAGCCGCAGUCACCUAACGGCGAACGUCAUUAUUUUCUGUUGCAGAAAAUCCGGCCGGAGCUACGUCAACAAUUUCACGAUGGUCUCACUACUUGGACGGUCCAGGGCAACGAGGCAACAGCAAUCAAGAUCAAAGAAGAAAGGCAUCAGUUAGUCGAUAGGAUGGCACAGGAGGUUGAAAA